This 2688-nucleotide long non-coding RNA is filed under the name Salmo salar (Atlantic salmon). Its description in RNAcentral is "lncRNA (ENSSSAG00000102793.1)". The record is from RNAcentral. Lineage: Eukaryota; Metazoa; Chordata; Actinopteri; Salmoniformes; Salmonidae.
GAUGGAUGGUGUUUCCAGGUUCCAGGUUGGAUGGUGUUUCCAGGUUCCAGGUUGGAUGGUGUUUCCAGGUUCCAGGUUGGGUGGUGUUUCCAGGUUGGGUGGUGUUUCCAGGUUCCAGGUUGGGUAGUGGUUCCAGGUUGGAUGGUGUUUCCAGGUUGGGUGGUGUUUCCAGGUUCCAGGUUGGGUGGUGGUUCCAGGAUGGAUGGUGUUUCCAGGUUCCAGGUUGGAUGGUGUUUCCAGGUUCCAGGUUGGAUGGUGUUUCCAGGUUAGAUGGUGUUUCCAGGUUCCAGGUUGGGUAGUGUUUCCAGGUUGGAUGGUGUUUCCAGGUUCCAGGUUGGAUGGUGUUUCCAGGUUCCAGGUUGGAUGGUGUUUCCAGGUUCCAGGUUGGAUGGUGUUUUCAGGUUCCAGGUUGGAUGGUGUUUCCAGGUUCCAGGUUGGAUGGUGUUUCCAGGUUCCAGGUUGCAUGGUGUUUUCAGGUUCCAGGUUGGAUGGUGUUUUCAGGUUCCAGGUUGGAUGGUGUUUCCAGGUUCCAGGUUGGAUGGUGUUUCCAGGUUCCUGGUUGGAUGGUGUUUCCAGGUUCCAGGUUGGAUGGUGGUUCCAGGUUCCAGGUUGGGUGGUGGUUCCAGGUUCCAGGUUGGGUGGUGGUUCCAGGUUCCAGGUUGGGUGGUGUUUCCAGGUUCCAGGUUGGGUGGUGUUUCCAGGUUCCAGGUUGGGUGGUGUUUUCAGGUUCCAGGUUGGAUGGUGUUUUCAGGUUCCAGGUUGGAUGGUGUUUCCAGGUUCCAGGUUGGAUGGUGUUUCCAGGUUCCAGGAUGGAUGGUGUUUCCAGGUUCCAGGUUGGAUGGUGUUUCCAGGUUAGAUGGUGUUUCCAGGUUCCAGGUUGGGUGGUGUUUCCAGGUUGGAUGGUGUUUCCAGGUUCCAGGUUGGAUGGUGUUUCCAGGUUCCAGGUUGGAUGGUGUUUCCAGGUUCCAGGUUGCAUGGUGUUUUCAGGUUCCAGGUUGGAUGGUGUUUUCAGGUUCCAGGUUGGAUGGUGUUUCCAGGUUCCAGGUUGGAUGGUGUUUCCAGGUUCCUGGUUGGAUGGUGUUUCCAGGUUCCAGGUUGGAUGGUGGUUCCAGGUUCCAGGUUGGAUGGUGGUUCCAGGUUCCAGGUUGGGUGGUGUUUCCAGGUUCCAGGUUGGGUGGUGGUUCCAGGUUGGAUGGUGUUUCCAGGUUGGAUGGUGUUUCCAGGUUCCAGGUUGGAUGGUGUUUCCAGGUUCCUGGUUGGAUGGUGUUUCCAGGUUCCAGGUUGGAUGGUGGUUCCAGGUUCCAGGUUGGAUGGUGUUUUCAGGUUCCAGGUUAGAUGGUGUUUCCAGGUUCCAGGUUGGGUGGUGUUUCCAGGUUCCAGGUUGGGUGGUGUUUUCAGGUUCCAGGUUGGGUGGUGUUUCCAGGUUCCAGGUUGGGUGGUGGUUCCAGGUUGGGUGGUGGUUCCAGGUUCCAGGUUGGAUGGUGUUUCCAGGUUCCAGGUUGGGUGGUGUUUCCAGGUUCCAGGUUGGGUGGUGUUUUCAGGUUCCAGGUUGGGUGGUGUUUUCAGGUUCCAGGUUGGGUGGUGUUUUCAGGUUCCAGUUUAGGUGGUGUUUUCACGUUCCAGGUUCGGGGGAUGUUUCCAGGUUCCAGGUUGGGUGGUGGUUCCAGGUUCCAGGUUGGAUGGUGUUUCCAGGUUGGAUGGUGUUUUCAGGUUCCAGGUUGGAUGGUGUUUCCAGGUUGGAUGGUGUUUCCAGGUUCCAGGUUGGAUGGUGUUUUCAGGUUCCAGGUUGGAUGGUGUUUCCAGGUUCCAGGUUGGAUGGUGUUUCCAGGUUCCAGGUUGGGUGGUGUUUCCAGGUUCCAGGUUGGGUGGUGGUUCCAGGUUGGAUGGUGGUUCCAGGUUGGAUGGUGGUUCCAGGUUCCAGGUUGGGUGGUGUUUCCAGGUUCCAGGUUGGAUGGUGUUUUCAGGUUCCAGGUUGGAUGAUGUUUUCAGGUUCCAGGUUGGGUGGUGUUUCCAGGUUCCAUGUAGGAGGGUGUUUCCAGGUUCCAGGUUGGAUGGUGUUUCCAGGUUGGGUGGUGUUUCCAGGUUCCAGGUUGGGUGGUGUUUCCAGGUUGGGUGGUGUUUCCAGGUUCCAGGUUGGGUGGUGUUUUCAGGCUCCAGGUUGGGUGGUGUUUCCAGGUUCCAGGUUGGAUGGUGUUUCCAGGUUCCAGGUUGGAUGGUGUUUCCAGGUUCCAGGUAGGAUGGUGUUUUCAGGUUCCAGGUUGGAUGAUGUUUUCAGGUUCCAGGUUGGAUGGUGUUUCCAGGUUGGGUGGUGGUUCCAGGUUCCAGGUAGGAUGGUGUUUCCAGGUUCCAGGUUGGGUAGUGGUUCCAGGUUGGAUGGUGUUUCCAGGUUGGGUGGUGUUUCCAGGUUCCAGGUUGGGUGGUGUUUCCAGGUUCCAGGUUGGGUGGUGUUUCCAGGUUCCAGGUUGGGUGGUGGUUCCAGGUUGGGUGGUGUUUCCAGGUUCCAGGUUGGGUGGUGGUUCCAGGUUGGAUGGUGUUUCUAGGUUCCAGGUUGGGUGGUGGUUCCAGGUUCCAGGUUGGGUGGUGGUUCCAGGUUGGAUGGUGUUUCCAGGUUCCAGGUUGGGUGGUGUUUCCAGGUUCCAGGUUGGAUGGUGUUUUCAGGUUCCAGGUUGGGUGGUGUUUCCAGGUUGG